CGGGGUGCAGCAGGCGCGAAAACUUUACAAUGCUGGCAACAGCGAUAAGGGGACCUUGAGUGCCAGGAUACAAUCCUGGCUGUCGUGAUGCCUAAAAAGCAUUAUAUAGCAAGGGCCGGGCAAGACCGGUGCCAGCCGCCGCGGUAACACCGGCGGCUCGAGUGGUAACUGCUAUUAUUGGGUCUAAAGGGUCUGUAGCCGGCUUGGUUAGUCUCUUGGGAAAUCCGGCAGCUUAACUGUCGGGCUUUCAGGAGAUACUGCCAGGCUCGAGACCGGGAGAGGUGAGAGGUACUUCAUGGGUAGGGGUGAAAUCUUGUAAUCCUUGGAGGACCACCAGUGGCGAAGGCGUCUCACCAGAACGGAUCUGACGGCAAGGGACGAAAGCUAGGGGCACGAACCGGAUUAGAUACCCGGGUAGUCCUAGCCGUAAACGAUACUCGCUAGGUGUCGGCCACGGUGCGACCGUGGUCGGUGUCGUAGGGAAGCCGUGAAGCGAGCCACCUGGGAAGUACGGCCGCAAGGCUGAAACUUAAAGGAAUUGGCGGGGGAGCAC
This 553-nucleotide ribosomal RNA is filed under the name uncultured archaeon. RNAcentral describes it as "bacterial SSU rRNA". It matches the Rfam family "Archaeal small subunit ribosomal RNA", at positions 326 to 879 of the family's 1478-position model. The record is from RNAcentral.